This 627-nucleotide ribosomal RNA is filed under the name uncultured bacterium. RNAcentral describes it as "bacterial SSU rRNA". It matches the Rfam family "Bacterial small subunit ribosomal RNA", at positions 554 to 1182 of the family's 1533-position model. The record is from RNAcentral.
UUGGGCGUAAGAGCUCGUAGGCGGUCUGUCGCGUCGGCUGUGAAAACCCGGAGCUCAACUCCGGGCCUGCAGUCGAUACGGGCAAACUGGAGUGUUGCAGGGGAGACUGGAAUUCCUGGUGUAGCGGUGAAAUGCGCAGAUAUCAGGAGGAACACCGGUGGCGAAGGCGGGUCUCUGGGCAACAACUGACGCUGAGGAGCGAAAGCGUGGGGAGCGAACAGGAUUAGAUACCCUGGUAGUCCACGCCGUAAACGUUGGGCGCUAGGUGUGGGGCUCAUUCCACGAGUUCCGUGCCGCAGCUAACGCAUUAAGCGCCCCGCCUGGGGAGUACGGCCGCAAGGCUAAAACUCAAAGGAAUUGACGGGGGCCCGCACAAGCGGCGGAGCAUGUUGCUUAAUUCGAUGCAACGCGAAGAACCUUACCUAGGCUUGACAUGCACGGAAAUCUCCCAGAGAUGGGGGGUCCGUAAGGGCCGUGCACAGGUGGUGCAUGGUUGUCGUCAGCUCGUGUCGUGAGAUGUUGGGUUAAGUCCCGCAACGAGCGCAACCCUCGUCCUAUGUUGCCAGCACGUCAUGGUGGGGACUCAUAGGAGACUGCCGGGGUCAACUCGGAGGAAGGUGGGGAUGA